UGUAAUCCUCAUAAUCCCGCUGGAAGGGUAUGGACACGUGAGGAACUAAGUCGUAUCGGCAAGAUCUGUAUCCGUAAUGGCCUAAUAGUCGUAUCAGAUGAGAUACAUUGCGAACUCGUAUUUCCGGGAUAUACUUUUACACCGUUCGCAUCUAUCUCAGAAGAAUUCCUACGGCAUUCCGUGACAUGCCUGUCGCCUAGCAAGGCUUUCAAUAUCGCUGGAUUACAAAUCGCCAAUAUCGUGUGUUACGAUGAGAACCUACGUCGGAAGAUAGACCGGGCAAUCAAUAUCAACGAGGUAUGCGAUGUGAAUCCUUUUGGUGUAAUAGCUACCAUAGCGGCCUAUAAUGAGGGAGAGGAAUGGCUGUCGCAACUGAUCGAUUAUUUAUGGCAGAAUUACUUAUACAUGAAAGAUUUUUGCGGGAAAUAUCUGCCGGACUUUCCGAUAACCUUGUUGGAAGGCACUUAUCUUGUAUGGAUGGAUUGCCGUAAGUUAGGUAAAUCAUCGGAAGAAUUGGAGCACUUGCUGAUCGAGAAAGCGAAGCUAUGGCUCAAUGCCGGAACGAUGUAUGGAGCAGAAGGCGAAGGUUUCAUGCGUUGGAAUAUCGCUUGUCCACGUUCCUCGCUGAUAAACCGGCGAGUUAUAGUAACGAGCAAGCUUAAGGUAUUCAGUACCGGAGGCGAAGCGAGAGCGAGUCUGAAUAGGGCGUAAAAAGUUCGUUGCCAUAGACCCGAAACCGGGUGACCUAACCAUGAGCAGGCUGAAGUGAGAGUAAAAUCUCAUGGAGGGCCGAACGCACGUUCGUUGCAAUGACCGGCGAUGACUUGUGGUUAGCGGAGAAAUUCCAAUCGAACUCGGAGAUAGCUGGUUCUCCCCGAAAUAGCUUUAGGGCUAGCGUUAUCUUAGAUUACCGGAGGUAAAGCACUGAAUGGGCUAGGGGGCGAUAAGCUUACUGAACCCUAUCAAACUCUGAAUGCCGGAUAAUUGAUGGAUAGCAGUCAGACAGUGUGAGAUAAGUUUCAUUGUCAAAAGGGAAACAGCCCAGACCCACAGCUAAGGUCCCAAAUGUAUGUUAAGUGGAAAAGGAUGUCCAGUUGCACAAACAACCAGGAUGUUGGCUUAGAAGCAGCCACACAUUCAAAGAGUGCGUAACAGCUCACUGGUCGAGUGACCGGGCGCCGAAAAUGUAACGGGGCUAAACAUACAACCGAAGCUUGGGCUGCACAGCAAUGUGCGGGGUAGGGGAGCGUUGUGUGCGGGGAGAAGCACGAGCGGAAGCGCGUGUGGACUGCACAGAAGUGAGAAUGCCGGAAUGAGUAGCGCGAAUUAUGUGAGAAUCAUAAUGGCCGAAAGCCUAAGGUUUCUGGAGGAAGGUUCGUCCGCUCCAGGUUAGCCGGGAGCUAAGGUGAGGCCGAAAGGCGUAGCCGAUGCACAUACGGUGGAGAUUCCGUAGCCAUCAAAAGAUUUAAGCAGAGGGACACAGUAGAAGGGUACAUGCCGGGCGUUGGUAGCCCCGGUUGUAAGGGACCGAAAUUAGAGUAGGGAAGAUGGACUUGGAUACUGGCGAGAAAAGCUCUGUGGAUAUCUGCGAUGCCCGUACCGCAAACCGACACAGGUAGGUAGGAAGAGGAUUCUAAGGCCAACGGGAGAAGGGUUGUUAAGGAACUCGGCAAGUUGACCCCGUAACUUCGGGAGAAGGGGUGCUCUGGAAACAGAGCCGCAGAGAAUAGGUCCAGGCAACUGUUUAGCAAAAACACAGCUCUCUGCUAAAUCGAAAGAUGAUGUAUAGGGGGUGACGCCUGCCCGGUGCUGGAAGGUUAAGAGGAGGAGUGAGAGCCCCGAAUCGAAGCCCCAGUAAACGGCGGCCGUAACUAUAACGGUCCUAAGGUAGCGAAAUUCCUUGUCAGGUAAGUUCUGACCCGCACGAAAGGCGUAAUGAUUUGGGCACUGUCUCAACAGCCCGCCCGGCGAAAUUGUAGUACUGGUGAAGAUGCCAGUUACCCGCA
RNAcentral lists this ribosomal RNA (2006 nucleotides) under human gut metagenome. RNAcentral describes it as "bacterial LSU rRNA". The stretch from base 549 to 2006 matches the Rfam family "Bacterial large subunit ribosomal RNA", at positions 1 to 2074 of the family's 2925-position model. The record is from RNAcentral.